Molecule: long non-coding RNA, 920 nt
Organism: Ictalurus punctatus (channel catfish)
Lineage: Eukaryota; Metazoa; Chordata; Actinopteri; Siluriformes; Ictaluridae
Source: Ensembl
GGUUGGGUUCCGCACAGUCCGCCCGGGGGAUUCAACCCGACGGUCCCCGGCCGUCCCCGCCGGCGGCGCGUGCCCCCUCCACCCUCUCCGCGUCCCUCCCGGGACGUCGGCGCGGGCGGGGGCCGCCCGCCGGCCGGGGUCCCACGGCCGCCGUCGGGCGCAUUUCCUCCGCGGCGGUGCGCCGCGACCGGCUCCGGUUCGGCUUGGAAGGGUCCGGGGGCGAAGGUGGCUCGUGGCUCCGGCCCCGAGCUUUACAGCGCCCCCCCGCCCCGACUUCGCCGCUUACCCCGGGGCCGCGGGCGAGCUACCUCCGCGCCUUUCCCGGCCCCCCGUCCUCAACCCCCCCUCUCCGGGGGGGGGGGGCGGGCGGGGGCGCGCGGGACGGGGCCCCUCCGCCCCCGACGCGGCUGUCGACCGGGCCGGACUGUCCUCAGUCCGCCGCCCGACCGCGCCGCGCCGCCAGGGCGGGGACCGGCCCACGACACCAAGGGCGCUCGGGGUCCGCGGCGAUGCCGGCCACCCAACCGACCCGUCUUGAAACACGGACCAAGGAGUCUAACGCGCGCGCGAGUCAGAGGGCUCGGCACGAAACCCCACGGCGCAAUGAAAGUGGAGGCCGGCGCGCGCCGGCCUAGGUGGGAUCCGCGCGCCCCGGCGCGCGGCGCACCACCGGCCCGCCUCUACCGCCCCGUCGGUGAGGUGGAGCCAGAGCGCGCGCGAUGGUACCCGAAAGAUGGUGAACUAUGCCCGGGCAGGGCGAAGCCAGAGGAAACUCUGGUGGAGGCCCGCAGCGGUCCUGACGUGCAAAUCGGUCGUCCGACCUGGGUAUAGGGGCGAAAGACUAAUCGAACCAUCUAGUAGCUGGUUCCCUCCGAAUUUCCCUCAGGAUAGCUGGCACUCGUAAACGGUUGGGUUCCGCA